Molecule: ribosomal RNA, 523 nt
Filed under: uncultured bacterium
Lineage: Bacteria
Description: bacterial SSU rRNA
Rfam family: Bacterial small subunit ribosomal RNA
Source: RNAcentral
AGAGUUUGAUCCUGGCUCAGGAUGAACGCUAGCGGCAGGCCUAACACAUGCAAGUCGAGGGGUAACAUAGAAAAGCUUGCUUUUCUGAUGACGACCGGCGCACGGGUGCGUAACGCGUAUACAAUCUGCCUUAUACUGGGGUAUAGCCUUUAGAAAUGAAGAUUAAUCCCCCAUAGUCUCUACUUGUGGCAUCACAUAUAGAGUAAAGGUUACGGUAUAAGAUGAGUAUGCGUUCUAUUAGCUAGUAGGUAAGGUAACGGCUUACCUAGGCAACGAUAGAUAGGGGCCCUGAGAGGGGGAUCCCCCACACUGGUACUGAGACACGGACCAGACUCCUACGGGAGGCAGCAGUGAGGAAUAUUGGACAAUGGAGGCAACUCUGAUCCAGCCAUGCCGCGUGCAGGAAGACUGCCCUAUGGGUUGUAAACUGCUUUUAUACAGGAAGAAACCACUCUACGUGUAGAGUUCUGACGGUACUGUAAGAAUAAGGAUCGGCUAACUCCGUGCCAGCAGCCGCGGUAAU